This 107-nucleotide small nuclear RNA is filed under the name Microcebus murinus (gray mouse lemur). The record is from RNAcentral. Lineage: Eukaryota; Metazoa; Chordata; Mammalia; Primates; Cheirogaleidae.
GUGCUCGCUUUGGCAGCACAUAUAGUAAAAUUGGAAUGAUACAAAGAAGAUUAUCAUGGCCCCUGCACAAGGAUGACAUGCAAAUUCAUGAAGCAUUCCAUAUAAAA